This is a non-coding RNA of Phasianus colchicus (ring-necked pheasant), 1060 nucleotides long. Lineage: Eukaryota; Metazoa; Chordata; Aves; Galliformes; Phasianidae. The record is from RefSeq and is a predicted model, not a curated record.
UCAACACCGGGCAUUCCAUGAGUCUGUGACGUUCACAGCCAGGAGCACUCAGCCUGUCCGUGCCCAGGACGGGAGCAGCUGUGCAACAGCACAGACAUCCACACCGCGGCUCCUCUCUGCGCUCGGAGGUGUUUCUGGCAAUUUCACCCCGGGCUGGGCUCACAGCCAUGGGCUCUGUGCCUCCUGGGCACGCCCUGGGAGGGCCUAGAAGGCGUCCCUCGGCCUCGGCAGCUGUCAGCUAUUAUGACAUCAGAACCCGCCGUCCUACUCAGCCACGCCGCAGACCUAUGCAGCAGUGCAGUCCCGCCAGGAUUGCAGAGCAGGCGAGUGGGAAGAGGUGCUCGUGUCCUGGGAGGAGAGUGAGCUGUUCCCUGUGUCUGCUGGAGUGAAGGUGCCAAAAUGCCAGCCCAGCUGGGCAGGCAAGGCGUCGCCCAAGAGAGGGGAAGGAGGAGCCCCAUCCUGCUUCUAGCAGUGCUUUCUGCUGGAGCCUUCCUCUGGAUAUUGGCAGCUUGGAGAAGCGACGUCCCGCAGGUCAGUGCCGCGGUGUGCGGCAGAGGCCAAAGCUCUGCCCUUCUGCCUCUGCAGGGAAGGGAGUUUGGCCACGGGCUCCUCACUGCUGAGGCGGAGGGCAGACCUUGAGCCGGGCUGGGGUCGCCUUGGCAGCAGGGUGGGCUUCGGUCUGGAAGCACCUUCCCGGUGCCCAGCUCGGAGCUUGGGCUGAAGGCAGUAGCGCAUGGGAAGAAUGGGCCUUUGGCCCAUCCCUGGCACUGGGGAGUCUGGAGGGGCUGGGAAAGCAAACGGAGAAGCAGCAGAUGCUCUGCAGCACGGGGAGGGCUUAAGAGCCCGACUUUGGGCAGCGCUGCCCUGCAAACCGCUGGGAAGCAGCAGGAAAUUCUGCCAGCGGUUCCCUGGGAAGCUCCUUCGGAAGCCCUGGCCGUGCUCCGUGCGCUUCCUGCCAUGGAAUGCCUUUCUCUUCCAGGUGGCUUCAGCAGAGGCUGUGCGUGAGCUCCCGUCCCUGGGGUAAGAACACUUCCUUGCCCCGCACCUGGUCCGUAGCGUG